This 128-nucleotide ribosomal RNA is filed under the name uncultured Campylobacteraceae bacterium. RNAcentral's name for it is "partial 16S ribosomal RNA". It matches the Rfam family "Bacterial small subunit ribosomal RNA", at positions 382 to 526 of the family's 1533-position model. The record is from RNAcentral. Lineage: Bacteria; Pseudomonadati; Campylobacterota; Epsilonproteobacteria; Campylobacterales; Campylobacteraceae.
UCUGCUGCAUCAACGCAGGGGUGGAGGAUGACACAUUUCGGUGCGUAAACUCCUUUUAUAUAGGAAGAUAAUGACGGUACUAUAUGAAUAAGCACCGGCUAACUCCGUGCCAGCAGCCGCGGUAAUAC